GAAACUCUGCGAUGUGCGUUGGCUUUGAUAAUUCAACCGACAUAACAGACAUGGGAGUCUGGGUUUAACAUUGGAUAACAAGCCCCCUUGAGGGGACGUUAGAAUAUGUUAACAAGAAACCCCCCUUUUAGAAGGCGGGUAUGAAUUACCUUAGUUGACGGCAUUGCGGGAAAAAU
This 176-nucleotide non-coding RNA is filed under the name Tissierella pigra. RNAcentral's name for it is "Tissierella sp. DSM 105185 6S RNA". It matches the Rfam family "6S / SsrS RNA". From Rfam's summary of the family: E. coli 6S RNA was the first non coding RNA to be sequenced, but its function was unknown until recently. It consists of 184 nucleotides that fold into an extended hairpin structure with a large single-stranded internal bulge. The 6S RNA specifically associates with RNA polymerase holoenzyme containing the sigma70 specificity factor. The record is from RNAcentral. Lineage: Bacteria; Bacillati; Bacillota; Tissierellia; Tissierellales; Tissierellaceae.